Molecule: unclassified non-coding RNA, 8629 nt
Filed under: Leishmania donovani
Lineage: Eukaryota; Euglenozoa; Kinetoplastea; Trypanosomatida; Trypanosomatidae
Description: gene:LdHU3.17.0370(CDS-product:receptor-type_aden ylate_cyclase_putative)
Source: RNAcentral
GCCCGAAAGAUACACACGCCUACGGAGUUCGAGGUCUCUUUCCACACUCUGGCCGCGUUCUCAUUUAUAUUUCGCUCUCUUGCAUUGUCUUCGCUGCACGUACGCCUAUCGGUGAGCAGGUGACUAUUUAUUGUUCCUGCGCGCUCGCUUCCUAUCUCUGUACGCCACACACACACACACACACACACACACACGCACACACUCACGCAGAACCACAACGCAGCUCUCCCCCCUCUGCUCACCUUUGCGUCUGCUUCGCUUGUGGGCGACAGAGAAAACGGUGAAGCGGCGAAGGACUGCGAACGGGAAGCAUCGACAGACACUUGGAAAAAGCACCGGCGGCACCAACGACGCUGACAGUAGAGUCUUCCGUCAUUUGCAGCCCCCGAAACUAAAGAGGGCCGAAGAAGGGAAGGCGAGCAACCCCGUUUUGCACGCGACAUCACCGGUGAUCGUUCUCCGUCCCCCCUUGCCCACUUCUUGUGUUCUCCACAUUGCUUACUUGUGCGAGGACGCAAGAGGUUGCCAGGCAGCGCAUCGUAUACACGCGUUUUGCCUAUUUCCUUCGUCAUCCUGCCGCCGCCCCCAGACUUACUUGGGUGUUCGUGUGUUUCUGUGUGUACCUGUGGACUGAAGAGGUCACAGGUGCACAACAAACGGAUAACCCAGAUCGUCGUCUCACACCCGUAUACCCACACAUACACGGCGCCACAUACUGAACACCACCGUUACCGCGACACCGUCCCACGAGAUCGUUGCUGCUUCCACUGUAUUCACGCUUUCGCUCUCUAGUUGUUCUCAGCUGUUGCUGUAGCGGCUGCGCCUCACACGUGUUAUUCAGGCUCGAGCCCCACCUCUCCACUCCUCACGGAUCCUCUCUCUCGCCUGCCCGUGCGAAGCACACAUCUGCCGUGAGGGCUACCACUCUCUCCCCCUGACUGCCUGCGACUGCGUUGCACAACGUCACGGCUCCUUCGACUUCUCGCUGCUUCUUUGGAAUUUCUUUUUAUGUUUUUGUUCUCCGGGUGUGCCCCCCCCCUCCCCCUCGACUUCUCCGUUUCGGCAUUUUGUGUGUGCAUCUGUAUCUUUUCUAUGUAUGCAUCCCGUUUUGUUUCAUGUAUCCAUCUCUGCACGUGCACACGUAACCAACGGCAGCGCCCCGAUCUCGCCUCCUUGUUGCUUGGCCUUGAAACAUAUACACCGAUCUCUCUAUAUAUGUCUAUCCAUCUCUCUCUAUAUUUUCCUUGAUUUGCAUAACAUUGGACUUGCGUUGUUCUGUGUGCCCCUUUUCUGUACCCCUCUCUGCCAUUCUGUGCGAUUGCGAGUGCGUGUGGGUGUGUGCCUUGUGUGCGUCUCCGUCGCGUCGAAUCUCUCUGCGGUCUGGGCCUGUCUUCCCCCCCCCCCCCCCCCGUGCCGUGUCUCGCGUACGUGUGCCACCCGCCCUCGUCUGCCCGGCCUUUUCCACCCUUUUCUGUGCCCUGCUUCUCGCCUCGCUCAGAGUUGGCCACGUCUCCCUCUCGCGUCGACGAGACCCGCUGCGCCGCCCCUCCCUUUGUUUCCUGCUGAUGGUGUGCUCGACAGUGGUCGCCACCACACGUCGGGGCACCGGCUGCGUGGGCGUGAGUGAUGGCGUGAGCUGCCGGGUACACAAACGCACGCUCGAGGCGUUGCGGGUGUCUGCGUGGCGGUGCGGUUUGCGGUUGGUGGCCCUUGCUGUGCUCGCGGUGGUGGCAGCAUCCCUCUGCACUGCACCGGCUGCAUGGGCUGCCGACAGCAGCGGCAAGGACCCCGAAAAAAACCCAGUCUACCUACUGAACGCUACGUAUUCCCUCGACCCAUUCAUGGCGGACGAUGCGAAGGCGUUGUGGCUGGGCAUCGACUCCGCGCUGCACGCUUCUGGUUACAAGACUGCUAACGGACGGCCGGUCGAGAUCGUGAACCCGGAUCCAAGUAUCAAGAAGUCCGACAUCAUUGCCGUCGUGCAGAAGGCGCUCGAGAAGUACCCGACGCUUCUUGGUGUGAUUGGGCCCUUUAUGGACCCGUUGAUGUCGACUGUCAUGAAAAGUGACGCGUUGAAGGGCAAGGACUUGAUGUUUAUGGCUCCUUUCACCGGGUCGAAUGCGGUGCGCAUGUGGGACAACGACGUGUACUUCACGCGUGGCGAUCCGUGGACAGAGAUGACGAUCAUACUGACGCACAUGCUGAAAAGGAUUCGCGCUCGCCGCACUGCGUUCAUGUAUCUGACGGGUGCGCAGUUCGGCGACUCCGAGUACAAGAUGGUAGUGUCGGUUCUCUCCUCCUUUUCGCUCGACCCGCCGGCUGUGUACUCCGCGCCGUACUCGACGAAGAACACUGCUGUGAACAAAAAGACCUUCGACGCGAUGGCGGACACGCGCCCGCAGGUGAUCAUAGUCUGGGGGAUUCCGGGUGAGCAGGUUGUGAAGUUCCUGCAGGCGGUGCUGACGGACCCGCGUACGUCGUCGGCGUACAUCAUGACCUGCUUCCCGCUGCAGCGGAUAGUAUUCCGGGUGUACUACGAUCUUGCGAUGGCUGGGAAGCUGACGCCUGUAGACGGGCAGAUCAUGUCGAGCGCAACCUCACUUCCGAUCUCUCAUAUAGAAAUUGAACAUGUGAGACUAUUCCGUACCGAGAUGGGGGAGUACAUGAAGAAGACCGGCCGCGUGGACGCGAGCCUGUGGGCCGACGAGGCGAAGGCUGUGCAGAAGUACGGCCCCCGAGGGCGUGAGGCGUCGUCGUCGGACUCUGCUGCAUACGCGGACAAGUUCUACAACGAGCAUCCAAGCACUGGGCAGCUGAUGAUUGCUGGGUGGCUUUCUGGAAAGCUGAUUGAUCAGACGCUGCAUGAGCCGCUGUGGACCAUCGAUCGGAAGACGUACAAGGCUGGGCUCUUUGAUCAGACCCGGUAUGUGAUUGGCGGAGAUAUUGUUCUUGGUGACUACGGUGGCCCGUGCACCCCCAUCGCCGAGUUUCUGGGCGCCGUGUGCUACUGUAACCAGGGCGGGCGUGCCUCUAUUCUCCAAGGCCUGAAAAAAGCCGCGUGGGAGCUCUUGCCGGAUGCUAUCUUCCACUACGCGCAGUCUGCCUGCUAUCUGAACAAGAUCGUACUCUCAAAGCCGCUGAAUGUCGUGACGCUGAACGUCUCCGACCUCCCGAAGCUGAGGAAAGCUGCUGCGGAUAUGGCCAAGGUGAUCCCACUUGCCAUCAGCGAAGAACGCCUGGACUUUUCAGCUUUUAACCCGGCGACGCUGAAUGCGACGCAGACGACAGCGCAGGGUGUGCUUGACUGGGAGUUCUUGAACUACUCCGUCGAUGUGGUCACCGGCCCGCUGCUUCGAAGCAUUGACUUGAGUGGACUGCUGGUGAUCUCUCCUGUGUUUAACCGGCCGAACGUGUUGGUGGAGAAGGAGAACUACCUGUUCCUGAUGCCGACGCUGGAGCAGGAGAUGUACGUCAUGUAUUCGGAGCUGUCAUCUGUGAGGGCCCUGACGUCGAUCGGCGAAGAUGUGAACCUUGUGCUUCACGAGUACACAAGCGCGAACGUGAAGGACAUCUCUGCAGUAGCGCUGCGGACGGCCGCAACGUUCAACGCUCCCGACCCAACCGUCAAGGCCGUCUCGUCGGGGACGUCGUUGAAGUCAUCGCUCGAACCGAGUAUGAUCAACUAUGUUCUUGGGAUCACGGACGACGAUGUGGAUGCGAUCGCCGCCUUCCUCUCCACGCACCCAUUGGCGAUCGUGGUAAUUUCGUUUGGGGACCUGGCUCACGAAUACGAGCUUCUCACCGAUACCUUCGCCAAGCUUCCCAACGCUGAGCAGGCGCGCCUGCUCACGUUCACUAACCUGCCGCUCUGGAGCGACAUGUCCCCGAGUUCCCUCGAGAGCUAUCCGCUGCUGAAGCUGUUCAACGCCAUUUUUCCGAAGCCCGCGGACCACACACCGUCUCUGCUGCGAGACCUCUUAUCCAUCGUCUUUAUCCACGUUGUGGCCUACGGGGAUGGCGGAUUUGAGAAGCCGACCUCACUCCAGGAGAGCGCCUAUAAAAAAGGCGUCAUCAACGCGUACAGCGUGACCCUGGGCCGCUUUACGUGGAACUGCACAAACACCACUAGUGGUCUUGAGUGCUUGUACAGAAACUACGGCGCGCAGGGCAUCGUGAUGCUUUCCGUCCAGCGGAUGCUGGACCCGACGGUGCCGCAGGUUUCUUCUCCCAGUACGCCGACGAUGGAGUAUCGGCCGCGCCAAAAGGCGGAUAAGAUGACGUCCGCGCAGCGAAACGGCCUGAUUGCUGGACUCGUUAUGUUCACUAUCAUCUUGCUUACGGCUGUUCCCCUGAUACUGUACUGGUGCACGGAAGGCCGCGACAACGACGCCGCGCCGAAGGACGGUGACGAGCCGGUGACGCUGCUCUUCACGGACAUCGAGAGCAGCACUGCGCUGUGGGCCGCGCUGCCGCAGCUGAUGGCUGACGCGAUUGCUGCGCACCACUGUGUGAUCCGGCAGCUGGUGAAGAAGUACGGGUGCUACGAGGUGAAGACGAUCGGCGACUCGUUCAUGAUCGCGUGCAGGAGCGCGCACAGCGCUGUGAGCCUUGCGUGCGAGAUACAGACGAAGCUGCUGAAGCACGACUGGGGUACGGAGGCGCUGGACCGCGCGUACCGCGAGUUCGAGCUUGCGCGCGUGGACACGUUGGACGACUACGAGCCGCCGACUGCGCGGCUGAGCGAGGAGGAGUACGCUGCGCUGUGGUGCGGGCUGCGCGUGCGCGUGGGGAUCCACACGGGGCUGACCGACAUCCGGUACGACGAGGUGACGAGGGGGUACGACUACUACGGCGACACGUCGAACAUGGCUGCGCGCACGGAGGCUGUUGCGAAUGGCGGGCAGGUUGUCGCGACGGAGGCGGCGUGGUGGGCGCUGUCGAACGACGAGCGCGCGGGUAUUGCGCACACUGCGAUGGGACCGCAGGGGCUGCGCGGUGUGCCGUUCGCCGUGGAGAUGUUCCAGCUGAACGCUGUGCCUGGCCGCCGCCACGCUGCGCUGCGCACUGAGAUCGAGGCGAUCCUGCCGGAUGAUACAGCGACGGACACGGCCUCGAGCGCUGCAGGCGCGCUGCUGUCGUCUGUGGGCACGAUAAAUGGCCCUGCUGCUGGCAUUGCCUUCGUGUUGGCGAGCUGCUUUGCGCCGUACCCCGUUGCGCAGCGCGUGCGAGAGCUGCAGCCGCUGCUGAGCAAGUGGGGCGUUGGUGCGCCGCCGCGGAGUCGUCUUGUGAGCGAGGAGGACUACUGCCAGGGGCUGAUGAACCGUCUUGCGAUUCGGAUUGCGACGGUGUCGCAGGCCCGCCAGCGGAUGGGCAGUAACGAGACUGGAGUUUCAGGAGAUUUGCAGAACAUUAUCUCAAGUGGAGUGCUGAACCCGUUGCUGGGUGAGGGCAGCUUUAUCUCAGACGGUGCGAGGGCACGGCAUUCGGGGCUGACGGCGGUGCCGCCCUCUGCUGAACCGUCUGCGAUGCGCGAGUCACGUCUCUGGAGGAGGUCGACGAUGAAUGGGCUAACACUCUCAAGGGGUCCAUCGAGUAGGAAGGAAAGCUUGAGUGUUAAUACCGCGGGGUUCCAUGACGACGUGGUGCCGUUCACCGCACAGGCAUCACGGCGGUUCUCAGAGGAGCACAAUUCGCGGAGUGCGAGCAUCUCUUGCGAGGUUGUCGUUGUGCGGAUGCCCAUGAAGCUCGGGCGCCGCCGCCGCCCAAGUUUGCUGGAGCCGUUGGCGGAGGACGUGGCCGACGAGGCGUAGUCUGGGGGAGCGGGAGCUCAUCUUGGAGAGGUGUGUCGGUGGCGGCGGACUUUGUUUUGUUUUGCAUCACGUCUCUAUGCUGUGCUCGCUCAGUGGCGGGGCUCAGUGAAUGACUGCUGUGACAGAUGCCGUCUGCUUGCCGCUUGCAUGUGUGUCUGUGUGUGCGCGAACGCGAAGACAGCGCCGCGAGGGCGGCGUGCGCAAGAGCAGUGGGAUCUUCCUGGGGACGUGCCACAGUGCGUUCAGGAGGAUGACGGCUGCGCACAGCAUGAUGCAAGCAGAAUGAUGUGUGUGCUUAGUGCAAGGCGUGCACAUUCUGACUCCGUCACUCACCCCCUCCCCUCCACAGACGCCCCCCUCCCUCAGCCUUUUCGGAGAUGUGCGACGCGGGAGAGGGAGAGGAAACGUGUGUGCGACAGCGCGUUCACCUGUGCCUCGGCUGAGAAUGGCACCACCGCCUCUCCCUCUGUGCGGGAGGGGUAUCGGCAUACAUCACCACGGCCACACCUACUCCUUUUUCGUUCUCUGUCCGUAUCUCUUUCAUGGAGCUUUUUCGGGUUGACGGCGUGCGUUGUAGUCGUGUUGACGGACCUCGCUCACCGUAGCGGUGUAUUAGGGACGGUGGGUUUCUUGUCUCACUUGUCGUGCUGCUGCGUUCCGUCGAUCGUUCUCUCUCUGUGUUGGUUUGAUGGCCGAUCCUUCGUCGAUGUGGUUCUGCGUUUUUUUUUUUUGCUCUCUUACUCGCUUGCUGUGUGAUGCUUUCCUGCCGUCUUAUUGUCCCGAUGCACACGGGUGUGCCACGAGGCGGCUUCGAAAGCAGGUAUAUAUAUAUUUUUAUUAGCUUGUGCGUGUCUUUACACGUGUGGUACACCAGUGGAUGCCAUUGGUUCUUCGGAGCGGCGCGGCUUUUUGUGUGUGUUGCCCUCGAUGGUGUUCUUUAUGCUGUGUGUGAACCAGACAAAGGACUUGCGCGAGGGGGAGAGCUGAGUCCAUGCGAGAGGACGCGAGCGAUGUGACGAGGUCCGUUGGCGCUGGUUGACAGGGAGAGGCUUGCAUGUGUGGAUGUGUCUCUGGCGAGUUGUGCCCACGCACGCUCACACACUGCCUCGGCAAAGAAAUCUACUCUGCGCAUGAGCGACUCGCAAAUUUAUAUGCGUAUGUGUAGUAACGGAAUGACGCACCCACUCCCUGCUGUUGCGCGCUACUGUUUCUUUUUUUUUUCAGGUCACUCGGAGAACUUCUCCGGUUUUCCUCUCCACACAUUCUGCUGUUUCUGUUUCGCAGAGGAGGGUGACGGGUAUAAGCGAACGGUCUUUACAUUUUCACACCCUCCCCUCUCUCCCUGUUUUCCUGGUUUGUGCUUUUUGUGUUUCCUGGUUCGAGUAUACACUUUUGGACGCGGAUGUGUGUGUGUGUGCGUGUGCUGGCGACACGUAAGGCUAGUGCCCUCUUGCCAUGUUUCUUUAUGUGCUAUAAAAGAACCGUGUGCGCGUCUGGGCUGCCCGUUUUAGUUUCUUUUUCUCUCUCUUUCUGCUUUGGGCUCUUACCACCAAACACCAUCCCACACUCCCUCCUCUCUCCCUCCCUCUGCACCAAUCCGCCUGCUCUCCUACUACCUGUAUAUGUGUGUGUGUGUUUAUGCCCCAGUGCGUGUGUCUUCUCCGUGUUUUCGUUCUUUUCCUUUUGUUUUUCCCUCUCGUGUCCUCCGUUGCAUAUAUAGGUACACGUACGCGCGCGCCCGCACACGCACACACGCGCAUGCAUACACCUAUACAUGUAUCUCGAUGCAGCUGCACCCCACUUUGCGAACUCGCAAUUUCUCAUACACAACAAACAAGAAAACACGAAGAAAUUCAUUCUUGUCUCUCUUCGGUUGUUGUCUUCCACCUUAUCUUACCCCCACCCCUCUCUGUCCCUGCUUAUCCCGCGCCCCCUGUGUCGACACACAUUUCUUUGCCCUCUUCCUCAGCUUUAUCCGGUGUUCCCACCCCUCCCUUUCACAUGAGCCCUCUCUGCGCGCGAGUGCGUGCGUGAUGGAUUGGGGCGGAGGAGGAGGGGGGGCGUGAGUGCGUGAGGUGAGGGCCGUCUUUUCGUAUUUUUCACUCGUUUUCUUUUCCCACGUUGUUUCUUGCUUCCGCCCUGCCCGCCUGCCUUUUUUUGUCUUGUUGUUUGCCCUUCUCUCUGGUGUCACUGACCCCGCCCGCCCCCCUCCCUUUCUCCCGUGGCCCGCAUCUCCGGCAUUUCGUUACGCCCACCAUGCUCACCAACGCCGUGGCAAGGCACCGGUGAAAGCGUGCAUGCACAUGCACAUACACACAUACACACACAUAUAUAUAUAUGUACAUAUACAGCUAUGUAUGCAUGUACAUAUGUGUAUAUGUAUACACAAAAGGGAGGGAGGGGGAGGGAGGACUAGCCUUUUUGUUUGAAGAAUGCCCCAUCCUCCCCAUCGCCGCAGCCGCCCUGCUCUCAAUUUUCCCUUUCUUCGGGGGCAAGGGGGAGGGAGGGAGGGGGGGGGCGAGGAAGAAGGAAAAGAAAUGCUUUCCAUUUGAAAGAGGUGAAAAAGAAGGAGCUGCCCAUCGCCCACCGCCCAUCGCCUAUCCUCACUCGCCCCAAACGUAACGGAGAACAUGGAGCUCGUGCAAGCCAACCGAUUAUAACGGGGGGGAGGAGGAGCCGCCGAGGGGCGGAUGUGACGGGGCGCGUAAAUCCACCGGCACAGGCGACUCGUCAAUGAUCGGAUGAACGCGUGUGCCGCGGCGUGGAAGGGCGUUUCUCUGUGGCUUCAAAGCGUGACUGAGCACCGUGCCAGCGUUCCG